UACGUAGGGUGCGAGCGUUAAUCGGAAUUACUGGGCGUAAAGCGUGCGCAGGCGGUUUUGUAAGCCAGAUGUGAAAUCCCCGGGCUUAACCUGGGAAUGGCAUUUGGGACUGCAAGGCUGGAGUUUGGCAGAGGAGACUGGAAUUCCUGGUGUAGCAGUGAAAUGCGUAGAUAUCAGGAGGAACACCGGUGGCGAAGGCGGGUCUCUGGGCCGAUGACUGACGCUGAGGAGCGAAAGCGUGGGGAGCGAACAGG
This 254-nucleotide ribosomal RNA is filed under the name uncultured bacterium. Its description in RNAcentral is "partial 16S ribosomal RNA". It matches the Rfam family "Bacterial small subunit ribosomal RNA", at positions 524 to 776 of the family's 1533-position model. The record is from RNAcentral.